This 266-nucleotide signal recognition particle RNA is filed under the name Clostridium sp. RNAcentral's name for it is "signal recognition particle sRNA large type". It matches the Rfam family "Bacterial large signal recognition particle RNA". Rfam says of the family: The signal recognition particle (SRP) is a universally conserved ribonucleoprotein involved in the co-translational targeting of proteins to membranes. Archaeal SRP consists of a 7S RNA and homologues of the eukaryotic SRP19 and SRP54 proteins. Lineage: Bacteria; Bacillati; Bacillota; Clostridia; Eubacteriales; Clostridiaceae. The record is from RNAcentral.
CCGUGCUAGAUGGGGAGUUAGCGGUGCCCUGUAACCUGCAAACCGCUAUAGCAGGAUUGAAUUCCUUACCUAGGAUUUAAACUUCUAAGGUCUGACCCUUAUAAGUGAUGUUGAUAGGUGGGUCCCACGCAAUGGAUGUCUAUGAACCUCGUCAGGAUCGGAAGAUAGCAGCGAUAAAUAGAAUUUUCCAUGUGCCGUGGCAAACCUACCUUGAGUUAACUGUUUGGGUAACGCUUAAAAGAUUAUUUACAAAGUAAGGUGCGCGG